This is a non-coding RNA of Camellia sinensis, 471 nucleotides long. The record is from RefSeq and is a predicted model, not a curated record. NCBI's taxonomy places the organism in Eukaryota, Viridiplantae, Streptophyta, Magnoliopsida, Ericales, Theaceae.
GAAAUUUGGAAGAAAUGUUUAGGACCGUAACUCACCAGAAGUUGAAAAUUCAACAUAAGGCACGUUCACAAGUAACUGAAAUGUCAAUAUCAAAGUUCUCUAUGUUUUCAGGUUAACAGAAAACUCCAUAUUUCAUCUUCUUUUUUUUUAUAAUAAUAAAUUUAAGCUUAAAUUAACCCAAAGAAAGGGAAAAAAAGGGAAAGCAUCACCAAUAGAGACAGCAAUAGGAAUAGUAGACACUGCUCUCAAACAUCACAAGGAAUGUUGAGUGAAGAGCGGUUAACACUAAAUUGAGGAUAGCUUAGGAUUAAGUAAUUUUAUGGCUUCAUUCCAGGUGAAAUGUAAAUAGCAAAUUAAAGUGAUAUUUGAGAAGGCAAACGAAUAGAUGCUUUGUUGCUCAACAUGUGGCGACCUUAUAAAUUUCAAUAUAUUAAUCCAAAUGAGAAUUUUGGCAUUAUUAUUAACAGUUUA